Molecule: non-coding RNA, 148 nt
Filed under: Gorilla gorilla gorilla (western lowland gorilla)
Lineage: Eukaryota; Metazoa; Chordata; Mammalia; Primates; Hominidae
Source: Rfam by way of RNAcentral
GCCAGGCAUGGUAGCUCAUGCCUGUAGCCCCAGUUACUAGGGAGGCUGAGGUGGGAGGAUCACUUGAGCCCAGGAGUUCAAGGCUGCAGUGAGCUAUGAUUGCACCACUGCACUCCAGCCUGGGCGACAGAGCCAGACCCCAUCUCCA